GGGGCUAUAGCUCAGCUGGGAGAGCGCCUGAGUGGCACUCAGGAGGUCGUCGGUUCGAGCCCGACUAGCUCCA
RNAcentral lists this transfer RNA (73 nucleotides) under Solirubrobacterales bacterium. RNAcentral's name for it is "tRNA-Ala". It matches the Rfam family "tRNA". Rfam says of the family: Transfer RNA (tRNA) molecules are approximately 80 nucleotides in length. The record is from RNAcentral. RNAcentral also lists the same sequence under 1 other name. Lineage: Bacteria; Bacillati; Actinomycetota; Thermoleophilia; Solirubrobacterales.